GUGGAUUAGAUACCCUAGUAGUCCACGCCGUAAACGAUGUCUACUAGUCGUUGGGGAACUUGAUUCCUUAGUGACGCAGCUAACGCAAUAAGUAGACCGCCUGGGGAGUACGGCCGCAAGGUUAAAACUCAAAUGAAUUGACGGGGGCCCGCACAAGCGGUGGAGCAUGUGGUUUAAUUCGAUGCAACGCGAAGAACCUUACCUGGUCUUGACAUAUCUAGAAUCCUGCAGAGAUGCGGGAGUGCCUUCGGGAAUUAGAAUACAGGUGCUGCACGGCCGUCGACAACU
RNAcentral lists this ribosomal RNA (288 nucleotides) under uncultured bacterium. RNAcentral describes it as "partial 16S ribosomal RNA". It matches the Rfam family "Bacterial small subunit ribosomal RNA", at positions 773 to 1060 of the family's 1533-position model. The record is from RNAcentral.